RNAcentral lists this ribosomal RNA (497 nucleotides) under uncultured bacterium. RNAcentral describes it as "partial 16S ribosomal RNA". It matches the Rfam family "Bacterial small subunit ribosomal RNA", at positions 28 to 507 of the family's 1533-position model. The record is from RNAcentral.
GACGAACGCUGGCGGCGUGCCUAAUACAUGCAAGUUGAGCGAUGAAGAUUGGUGCUUGCACCAAUUUGAAGAGCAGCGAACGGGUGAGUAACGCGUGGGGAAUCUGCCUUUGAGCGGGGGACAACAUUUGGAAACGAAUGCUAAUACCGCAUAACAACUUUAAACAUAAGUUUUAAGUUUGAAAGAUGCAAUUGCAUCACUCAAAGAUGAUCCCGCGUUGUAUUAGCUAGUUGGUGAGGUAAAGGCUCACCAAGGCGAUGAUACAUAGCCGACCUGAGAGGGUGAUCGGCCACAUUGGGACUGAGACACGGCCCAAACCCCUACGGGAGGCAGCAGUAGGGAAUCUUCGGCAAUGGACGAAAGUCUGACCGGGCAACGCCGCGUGAGUGAAGAAGGUUUUCGGAUCGUAAAACUCUGUUGGUAGAGAAGAACGUUGGUGAGAGUGGAAAGCUCAUCAAGUGACGGUAACUACCCAGAAAGGGACGGCUAACUACGUG